AUGCUCCAUAAAUUGGUUGACCAGAGUGUGGAAUUUGAGGCCGAAGAAUGGUGUAUGUCCGACGACGACCUUCGACUUGCGACGUCUUGCAGCAUGAUGCACUCCAGCCCGGGCAUCAAGAUUUUCCCAAGGCAAGGGCAGCCCACGAAGCGGAGCACACGGUGGCCCUCCGAUCCGGUGCCCCAACUCCUGAGGCGGCCUUCCAUGGUGCAUGGAUGUUUUCAACUAGCAACAGUUUCAAGCGCGACCAACGGUGGUAGGUGUGCUAGAAGAUAUGGCGACACCCUCAAGCGUCGUUCACUGACGAGCGGUGGAGGCGACAUAGCACCAUCAUGGUGUUGCGCGAGCACGCCAAAGCAGCGACACCGGCGGUUAUUCUGCUCAGGUGGGGCCAUGCCUGAGGCUGAGCCAAUGCAAACGCCAAACGAUGAGGUCGAACUAAAAGAGGAAUUUGAGCAAACAACAGUUGUAAGUUAG
Molecule: ribosomal RNA, 477 nt
Filed under: Triticum aestivum (bread wheat)
Lineage: Eukaryota; Viridiplantae; Streptophyta; Magnoliopsida; Poales; Poaceae
Description: partial small subunit ribosomal RNA
Source: RNAcentral